RNAcentral lists this long non-coding RNA (20909 nucleotides) under Manihot esculenta (cassava). RNAcentral's name for it is "long non-coding RNA (MESC_LNC003803)". The record is from RNAcentral. Lineage: Eukaryota; Viridiplantae; Streptophyta; Magnoliopsida; Malpighiales; Euphorbiaceae.
UGGCGUUAAGGAUGCAACCCAUCGGUUCUUUGGGUUGCCAGCAGAGGAGAAGAGAAAGUUCUCCAAAGAGCUUUCUUCCACCAACAACAUCAGAUUUGGAACCAGCUUUAGUCCUGAUGCAGAGAAAGCUCUUGAAUGGAAAGAUUACCUUAGCCUCUUCUAUGUCUCAGAGGAGGAGGCUUCUGUAUUGUGGCCUUCUGCUUGCAGAGAUGAAGUCCUUGAAUACAUGAAGAAAUCUCAAGUCCUCUGCACGAAGCUAAUGAGUACACUCAUGGAGAAACUGAACGUAAAAGAAAUAGACGAAUCCAAAGAAUCUCUGCUAAUGGGCUCUAAAAGGAUUAAUCUCAACUAUUAUCCAAGAUGUCCAAACCCUCAGCUCACUGUUGGGGUUGGCCGCCACUCCGAUGUUUCCUCACUCACUUUCCUCCUACAAGACGAAAUCGGCGGGCUUUACGUGCGAAUCAACGAAGGCAAAGGCGACGAAGAUGGCUGGGUUCAUGUUCCUCCUAUUGAAGGAUCUCUUGUGAUCAACGUGGGAGAUGCAUUGCAGAUACUGAGCAAUGGUCGAUACAAGAGCGUAGAACACUGUGUGAUUGCAAGUGGAAGCAAGAACAGAAUUUCAAUCCCCAUUUUCGUAAAUCCAAAGCCAAAUGAUGUGAUCGGUCCUUUGCCUGAGCUGAUCGCUGCCGGAGAGAAGCCUAAAUAUAAGAACAUUCUUUACUCUGAUUAUGUGAAGCAUUUCUUCAGGAAGGCUCAUGAUGGCAAGAAGACUGUGGCUUUUGCUGAGAUUUCAUCGUAAUAGUUUUCUCAUAUAUGUUUUUACUUUAAUGUAUUAAAAUUUAAUUUAGUCUAUUGGUUAUAAUUAAUUUUAAAACUAGUUUUGAUUUUAUUGUCGAAAAAAUAAAAUUUAAGAUAUAAUUAAUUUAAUUUUUCACAAAAUUUUAGAUUAUUUUAUUUAAUAGCUCAUUGUUUUAUUGUCAAACUAUAUAUAUAAACUUUCAUAUAAAUGGCUUUAGAAGUUUCCUAAAUGGAACAUAUUUUUUAUGGAAAAUAUUUUUUAAAAAUAAAUAAUUUUUUGCAUUUUUAAUGUUUUAGUAUACUAAAAAAAUUUAUUAUUGAAAAAUAUUUUUUAUACAUCAAGAGAAAAAAUUAACCAAUCUUUAAGAAAAAAUAACUUUGAGAACUUUAUUAAUUCUAUUAGAUAUUCUAUUAUACAUGAAUGUUAUUAAUAACUUGUAUUUGUUAAUAUUAUUGAUAUAGCUCAAGCUUCAUCUAUCAAGAAAAAAUAACUUUGAAAACUUUGAAAAUGUUAAUAAAAGUCAAUUUUUUAUUAAAAAAUAAUAAUUGAUUAAAUCCGUAAUAAUAUAUUACUUUCCGUUAUUAAAUCCGUUACUAUUUUAUUUAUUUAGUUUAUUUAUUUAGUAAUUAAUUUAAUAAUAAAUUUAUUAAUGGAUUAAAAUAUAUUACUAAUUUUUAAUUAAUUUAUUAACAGAUUUAUAAUAGAUUUUAAAAUUAGUUAUUAAAUUUGUAUAUAAUUUUAUUAAGUAACGAAUUUGUUAAUCCGUUAUUAAAUAAUAAAAAUUAAUAAUUAAAUAUAAAAAAUUUAUUAUUAAUUUAUUAUAAAUUUAUAAUGAAUUUAAAUUCACUAUUAAUAUUUAUUAUUAUUUCGAUAAAUUUUGAUAGUGAUAGAUGAUUCUAUUAAAAAGUAAAGUGUUUCGCCCUAAAUUAAAAAACGUUCUAUACCAAAAUUUAAAUUCGAAAUAUUUAGGUACAAGAGAAACACCAGCAGACUUUAAGCCCAUCCAGUUAGUCCACUAAAGUGGACCCAGUGAAAGACCGAAACACUGGUUAAGUGGGUUGGAGGUAAGAUCCAAAGGUUCCACACGUGUCACCAUCCAAUUGGAUACCAACUGCUCACAUUUCCCUUCUCGGUUGCAUGAUUUAUUAAUCUCAAGGGAUGAGAUGGAUGAUGCGUGUACUUUCACCCUUAAUAAGAUAUCUGAAUUUUGAAUCCGAAUAAUUUAUAAUAAAAAAUAUUAAUUGAUUUAUUAUAGGUAUAUUGUAGUUGAAUUAAUUAUUUUUUAAAAGAAUAUUAAAUAAAAAAAUUUAAAUAUUUAUGAUAAUUUAAAAUUUAAAAUUUUAGAUAAUAAAAUCAAAUAUUUUUAAUUUGUUAUAUUAUAAUUAAAGAAUUAAAUUAAAUUUAUAUAAAUUAAUAGUAAAUUAUAAUAUAAUCUCUAAAAUUCUGUUUAAAUAAUAAAAUAGUGUUUAAAUACAUAUUUUUAUUAUAAAAGUAUUAUUUUUUUAUUAAUCUCAUUAUUCACUCUCUAUUUCUAUUUUUAUAUAAUAUUAUUAAUAAAAAAUAAGAUUUUUCAAAUAUAAAAAUAUACACAUAAUUUAUAAUAUUAAAUAUAAACAUAAAUAUAUAUAUGUGAUGUUUUGUAUAAUAGAAAUUUAUUUGUAAUAAAAAUUUAUUCAAUACAACAUAUUUGAUAUUAUAUAUAAUAAAUAUAAAAUAUAUUCAAUUUCAAUAUAAUAUUUAAAUUAAAAAAUUAUAUAUUUUAUUAAUAAUAUAGAAAUUUAGAAACUGUAUUAUAAUUUCUAUUAAUUUAUAUAAAUUUAAUUUAGUUUCUUUAAUUUAUAAUAAAUUAAAAAUAUUUGAUUUUAUUAUUUAAAAUUUAAAAUAUUAAAUAUAAAUGUGAAUUAUUUUAAAUUUUUUUAUCUAAUAUUUUUAUUUUAAAUUGUUAAAUAUCACAAUUACAUUGAAAAGUUGUCUUUAUGUGUUAGUGUUAGUGAUCUCAAGGAUGCACGAAUUACAAUGUAGAGGGUUGGUUUUUGUUCGUGAAAAAUAACUUAUAUUUAUAAAAUAUUUUUUGAGUAAAAUAUUUUUUUAUAAAAAAUAAAUAUUUUUUAAUAAAAUAAUUUAUUUUUUAUUAUUUAAUUUUAAUUUAAAAAAUAAAUUUUAUUAAAAAAAAUUAUAUAUACAGAUUUUAAUAAGAAUGUAAGGCCUAAAAAAAUUUUUUUUUUCUUAUAUAAAAAAAGUCAUUCUUUUAAAAUGGUUUAUUUUUUUCAACUAUAAAAAUAUUUUUUACUCUAAAUAUCAAAAAUUACGAAAAAUAUUUUCUUUAAAAUAAUUUAAGUUUUUAAUUAAAAAAAUAUUUUUUAUUAACUUUUUUUCUUGAGCGCUCAAACAAAAAAAAUGUAAAAAAAAUUUAAAAUAUUUUUUAUAAAAAAAUUUAAAAUAUUUUUUAUAAAAAAAUUCUGUUUAUUUUAAAAAAUAAUUCAUAUUUAAAAAAUAUUUUUGUAGAAAAUUCAUUAAAAAUAUUUUUUAAAAAAAUAUUUUUAUCAUUUAAUUUUAAUUUAAAAAAUAAAAUAUAUUAAUAAAUUUAUAUAAAUAUAUUUGUAAAAUUCUAAAAAUAAUUUUUUUUUAAAAAAAAGCUGAUUUAUUUUUUCUUUGUAUUUUAAAUAUAAAAAAAAUACUUUUUAAACAAACAGAAUUUUAAUAAAAAUUUAAAUUAUAUAUAAAAAUAUUUAUUUUUUAAUCUCUAAAUAAUAUUAUUAUUCAUAAAUUAAUCCUUACAGUUUUAAAAAUUUAUAAAAAUAUUUUUUAAUUUUUAUUUUCAUCAAAAAAAUAAUUCUUCCAUCUAAUUUCACUUACUUUUUCUGUUAAAAUUGUGUUAAAUAGAGAAUGAACCUUUUUAAAAUUCUAAACUACCCAUACAAUCAAACAUUCUCUCUCCAUUGACCCCACUGCACUAAAUCAAAAUUACCAUAUUCUCAACAUUCUUCUUUGCAUAUUAAAUGGGUAGGAGAUUAGGAGAAUUUUUAUUUUAAUAAUUUUUUUUUAUCUUCCAUAGUCAUUGAAUUUUUCUUUUAAAAAAAAUUAACACAAAAUUAUAUUUAGCCAAUGAGAUUUCAAAAUUGAAUAUUAAUAAUAGUUUUAUUAAUUAAAAAUAAAAUACUUAUUAUUAAUUUAGAAUUAGAUAAUUGUAUAAUAUAUGCAUAUAUUUCAUAAAUUUAUAAGAUAAAAUUUUCUUGAAAAGACUACCAAACACAUAAUUAAAGAAAUAAAAGGACAAUAAAUUAUUGGGACUUCAAUUGGCAAAUCCAUAUAAAAUAAUGCCAUUAUUUUCUUUCUUAAUUGACCCACAAAAAAUUAAUACUAUAUGUAAUUGAGAUCUUAAUUUAAAUUAAAAAUAUUUUCUUGGUCUCCUUGAAAAAUAUAUUUUGACUCCUUAAUUAUUUCAUCAAUGGAUUUGGGUGUUGAUGAGCCUUUCAUCAAUUAAUUAAUAAGAUUAUGAAAUGGCAUGAGUCUUCUCUCCGAUUUUAAAUUUGAAUUUUACGCAUAAAAUAUUUUUAAAUUUUAAAUGAUAAUAUUUAUUUUUAUAUAAAUUAUCAUAAAUUAAAAUUUAUCUAGACAAUGAACUUUUGAAUGAUAUAUGAUAUUAUGAGAUUCUAAAUAUAGAAUUUAUUGUGGGUAUAUAAGUUUAGGUAGGAAAUGAGACUUUUCUUUCAUUUUAUCCAUUUUCCUUUUAAAACUUGCACCUUAGAUCAAUCUGCUUAAAGAUAGCCCGAUGGAUUUUAGACCUAUAUUAUUUUUAUGAUUCAAUCUUAUUUCAAGUAUAAGAAGAUCCGCGAUCAUCGACAUAUAUUAUAACUUAAAAUUUUUUUUUUAAUAGUAAAAGAUGGAAUAAAUUAUCUAAAAUAUUUUAAGUAAAAUUAUUUGGAAAAUUAUUUAUAAUAAAAUGUAAAAUUUUGAUCUCAUUGCAUAAUCUUACAAGUGUAUAUAUAUAUACAUAUAUAUAAGUCAACUAUGAAAAUAUCAUUAUCAAAAGUGGUGGCAGAGAUCAGGGUUAGAUCAAGAUAAUGAUUCUCUUAAUUAAAAAAUAAUAUUAAUUUUCUUACUCUAGGGGCUACUAGGAGAGUGAGUGAGGAGGAAAUCAGAGAAAUUACUUAAUUAUAAAAUCAGUUUUGCUUUUCCCAUAAAGUCUUACUUCAAAUUUCCAGAUAAGCUGAUAGCUAAUUCCUUCUUCGAGUCUAAAUUAAAUCUUGAAAAAUGUUGCUGCUUCUAGUCAAUUAUGUCUGCUUGACAACUUGUCUUAAUUCUUUUUUUUUUUCAAUAUAUAUAUAUAUAAAUAAUUAAAAAUAAUUAUCUAUUCCAUUAUUAUUUUGCUGAUUGAAUUUCUCAGUAAGUGUUUGGAUUAAUAGUUUGUGAGUUUAACCAUUAAUUUAGAGUGUUUUGAAUUUUAUUAAUAUAAUUAAAUAUAAAAUUAUCAUUAUUAAUAAUUAUAUAAAUUAAAAAAAUUAUUAUAUAUUCUUUAUAAUAUGAAAAAUUUAUUAAUCAAUUAUUUUAUUUUAAAAAAUAUAUUAAAAUAUUUAUGAUAUUAGAAAAAAUUUAUUAGCCUAUCAUUCCGUUAAAUUUACUAUUAUGUAUUGUAAAUAAAAUUUAAAAUAAAAAUGAAUAUUCGAUCAGUUCGAUUCAAAUUGAAUCGAAUCGAAUGAACUGAAAAUUAAAAUUUUAGUAUUUAUAAAAACUGAAACGAAUUGAUUUUGAUCAGAAACCAAACCGAACCGAACCGGUUUGAUUCUAUUCGGUUUAAUUGAUUUUGAUUUUUAAUAAUUUUUUUAUUUUUUACACUUUAUUUUUAAUAUUUUAAAAUUUAAUUAAAAUAUUUUAAUUUUAAUAUAAUUUUUAAUGAAAUUUUAAUAUAAUUUAAUUUUUCUAUAUUAUUGAAAAUAACAUAUUAUUAUCACUAAUUGAUUCGGUUUGAUUUUUUUGAUUUUUUUGAUCAAAACCAAACCGAACCGAAAUAAUUAAAAUUUCUGAAAUUAAAAACCAAACCCAACUGAAUUGAAUAAAAAACUGAACUAAAUUUUAAAAUUAAUUCAAUUCGGUCGAUUUUUUCAGUUUGAACCGAAUACUACUCACUCUUAAUUUAAAAUACUCUCGAUACGGAAAGAUUAAUUAGUAAAUUUUUUAAAAAUUUAAAUUAUUAAUUAAUAAAUUUUUUAAAAUUAUAAAAAUUAAAUCAUAAAAUAUUUAAGGGCGAAAUUAAUAAAUAAAUUUUUAAAAUAUUAAAGAUAUUUUAAUUUAUUUUUUAAAAUUAAUAGAUCAAUUAUUUAAGUUUUAUCUCCAUUAAAGAAUUUAGUAUAAUUAUCAAUUUUUUUAUUGUUUUUUACAAAGAUAUUCCAAAUCUUAGCUACAAGAAAAAAAUCCUCCAAAAUACCUAACCCCAUUUUACUAGCUUUAACAAAUGUAUCAAAAGCUAGGCAGAUGGGCACAUGUUUAGUCGUUGAGGUGGGCGGUUUAGAACUUGAAAUAACCCUGACCCUACCAACAACCGGUAGAGAUGGAAAAAAAUAUAUAUAUAAUAAAGCAGUAACAAACCAAUUAUAUAAAAAUAAUUGUUUUUUUUUUAUAAAAAAACCGUUAAUUAGUUCAUUAUUUUAGGGUUUCAUCAUUUACCUGCGGGGUGUGUAUUUUUAUAUUCAUUUUUAUUAUUUAUCAAAUCAUAUAAUAUAAAAAAUAGAGAUUAAAAAUUGGAAAAAUAAAACUUAAAAUUUCUUAAAUUUAUUUAAAUGCGCUUACCAUCAAACUGAAAUCUCUCAAAUUUACUUAAAUACACUUAUUAUCAAAUUAAGUUUAUAAAUAUUUGAAUUUAAUUUAUUAUUAAUCUAAAAAUAAAUGUACUCUAGACUUAAUCUAUCAUAAAUCUAAAUAUAAAUGAGCAGGUUUGUUAUUAAAGUUUAUCAAAUUAAAAAUAAAUAAAUAAUAUAAGAGUUAUUUUGAUAGCAUGAUGGACAUAAUCUGAUAAUUUUCCAUACGGUAUAGUUUCUAGUAGAGGUGGGUCCCGAAUUUACAGACUCAAGACCAUGAUUUGGGGCAAAUUGCUUGGCAUCAAUCAAUUAAAAUUUGGAAAGUGAAGACGAGAGAGAAAAGGCAAAGAAUCUAGAAAAGAGAAGGAGAAAAUGGAAAGUAAUUGUUUUUCUUUUGAAAUUUUAGUGCAGCUUUUUUAAUUUUUUUUGUGUUUUUUAAUUUUAAUUUUUAUUUGUUGAUUUUUUUUUUCUUCGAAAAGGGAAUGAUUUCCGUUUGUUAUAGUCAUUUUUCGCUGUAGUCGGACGACAAUUAAGUCUUUUAUUUAUUUUUCUAUUUUUUUAUUUUGUAAGUCUUUAUUAUUUUUCAUAUCAGGGAUGGAUGUAUUUGAAUUUCGUAAGACCUACAACUUCACUUUUGCCAACAGAGAAGACUUUUAGGUUAUUGAUGUUGUAUUUUUGGAUUGCACUGCUGCUUUUGGUGACUUGCAUUCCCUUUGAUUGAUAAUCGACUGAGUUCUGCAGCGUCUUCUUUCUAUGGUGCUCUGUUCUGUGCUUGAAUUAUCGAAUUAACGUUUUUGAUAAAUUUUAUAUAUAUUUUUAUUGCAUGAUGGUCUAUUAUUGCGAGUUUUGCUGUUUCUGGUAGUUAUCAUUAUCUCACUUGCUUGUACUAUGUUACUCGAUGUCAAUGAUGGUAGUGGUAUCGUGAUUGUGCGAUGGUUAUUAUUAUCUUACUUAUUUGUGCUAUGUUACUCAAUGUCAAUGAUAAUAGUGGCAUUGUGAUUGUGCGAUAGUAAGACGGUGACAAAUAAAUUUUAAGAUGUAAUGAGUAAGAUUUCUGUGAAUUGAUUGGUCUGAAUUCACUAAUAGAUUUGAGUUGAACCGUUAAUGAUUGUAGAUUGAAUUUAAAUUUAUCAUAGACUGAAUUUUUUUAUUGAUUUUCUUAAAUUUCAUUUUUGAACCCUCUUAUAUUUUACCUUCUUGACUUCUAAAUGCAAUAUAAUCUGCAUUAUUUAAAAAAAAUUAAUUAAAAUUAAUUAAAUUUAGUCUUAAAAGAAAUUAAAUUUAGACCUUACAAUUUAAAAUGGCUUAUGAAAUAAGAAGUUUACUUUUCGAAAAUUAAUUUAACUAAAAUAAGAGAAACAACUUACUUAUUUUGUAUAAAAAAAUAAGUUUUAAUUCCUUAAUUAGAAAAUAAAAAAAAUUAAUUAAAAAAAAUUUAAUAAUUUUUAAAAAUUUAAAUUUUAUUUUUUUAAACGGAAAUCGAGAAAAUAAAAUCUAAAACCUGUCAAAUGUAGCACUUACCAUUAAGUUAAAGCUAUGAGUGCUUUAUUUUAAUUUAAUUUAAUUUUUUUAAAUAUAUUUUAAUUAAUUAGAAUGAAAGAAUUUAAUUUUUUUAUUUAAAAUAUUUUAAUUUAAAAAAAAUAUAAUUUUAUAUAAUUUUAUAAAAAUUUAUUUAAAUUUUGGAGCCCUACAUUUAUAAGUUUUGUACCUUAAUUAAUUAAUUAAUUUAUUUUAUUUCGAAUUAAAUUAACCCUUUUUUAAAAAUUAAAAUAAUAAUUUUUAAUUUUUAUAAUAAAAUAUUAAUACCAUGUUUUAAUAUUAAAAACUAUUCAUUCUUAUGAUUAAAGAAAAUAAAAAUAAAAAAUCAUUUAAAAUAAUUUUAUAAUAUUAAAGAUAUAAAUUAAGACUAAAAUUGCCUUUCAUAUCUUCUAAUUUAUUUACAAUAUUAUCUAAUUGUCUAUCUUUCAUAAUAUUAUAUGAAAAAAUAAAUGUUUUUAUUGAGUUAUAUAUGCUAAGUAGUAACGAUUUUAGAAACGGAUCAUAAUAUAGCAAAAGAAAUAGGAAAUUAACACCGUAAGAUGGACACUUUUAUGCACAUUGGGCAUAUAUACACAGGAUUAAUAAAAAAUAUAUAUAUAUAUAUAUAAUUUUAAAUAAAUCUUAUCUUAAUUUCAUAUCAUAUAGAAAUUUUUAAUAAUGUGUAUAUAAUCGUAAUAAUAUAUAAAUAUAAUAUUUCGUAUUCACAAUCCGAAUAAUUUAAUAAUCAAAUAAAAUUCAUUUCGAUAUAAGCUGACAAAACUAAAAUUGAGUGCCGAUACGAAUGAGAUAGAUCGUAAUAUUUAAAACGAAUGAAUUGACUCAAAUAAUUAUUGAGCAACAAAAAGCGUUUUGCUCAUAAAUUUUGCUAUGCGUAUUAGAAUCACUGAUAAAAUUUCAAUUCAAAAAACUCAUUCAAAAAUCUACAUUUUUUACUUGCCUUCGGCUAAGUAGUAAUCCAUCAAAAAUAUUGUUUAGGGUCUCAAAUUAGCUUUUAAAGUUUUUUUUAACAGUAUUUUUUGAAUUUUUAUAUAUACCUAUUUAACAUGUCUAAACUAACUUAUUUUCUAUUCAUAAUUACAUUUUUUUUUUAAAAUCUAUCAAAUCAAUAUUCGGAUGUACUAAUCCUAGAACUCUCUUGAAUCACACUUUAUCAAAUCAUCGCAAAUAAAAUUUUGUAUUGAUAAUCCAAUAAAAAUCUAUUGGUAGACGAAUUAUUAAAAGAUCACUAAUGGAUUAAGAUUCACUGUUAAAAAAGCUCGGAUCACACUUUUAUUACUCUUAUUAAUGGAUUUUAAUUUCAUUAGUAAAUUAAAAAAAAAUAAUUUAUUAAUAGAUGUGAAAUCCGUUAUUAAAUUUAUUAGUAAAUUACUGACGGAUUGCAAUAUGUUAGUAACUUCAUUAGAAAUUUAAAUAAUUUUAAAAUAAUUAUUAUUUUAAUUAAAUAAUAAAUUUUAUUAUUAAUUUAAUCAGAUUUAAAAUUAUAUUAUUAGUGUUAUUAAAUUUUUAAUUUAUAUUCAAUAUUUAUUAGAAAUAUAUAGAAAGUGGAAAUAAGAUAUAAAAUGAGAGAAAAUGAUGAAAAAAAAAAAGAAAGAAAACAGAGAAAAAAAAAUGAUAGAAAAAUAAAAAUUAUAAAAAAGAAAAAAGAAUAAAAGUAGAGUAAAAAAUUGAUUAGAGAAAUGAAAAAAAAGGAAUAAAUGAUUAUAGAAAAAAUAAAUAUAGAGAAAAUAAUAAAAAAUAUAUAAAUAAAUAAAGAGAAAAUAAUAGAAAAAUAUAGAUAGAAAGAAAAUGAUGAAAAAAAAUAAUAUAAGAGAAAUUAAUAUGAAUGAAAUACGGCAAACAUUAAGAAAAUAAGAGGAGAGUGAAGAAAAUAAUGAAAAGAAAUAGAGAAAGCGAAAGAAAAAUUAUAAGAAAAAGUGAAAAAAAUAAUACAAGAGAGAAUAAAAUGAGAGAAAAAAAAGGAUAAAAGGCGGAAAAAAAAUAAUAAAAAUUGAAAGAAAAAAAUUAUGAGAUAAAAAAAGUGAAAUGAAAGAAAGUAAUAGAAAAAAAAAAAGAAAAUGAGUGAAAGGAGAAGAAAAAAAAAAUGGAAGGAAGAAAAAUGAUAAAUGAAUGAAUAAUAAAAGAAGAGGAAAAAUAUUAUGAGAUAAGAAAGCGAAAUGAAUGAAAUGAAUGAAAGUAAUAGAAAAGGAAGAAAAAAAACGAGCGAAAGAAAAAGAAAAUAGAAAAAUAAAAAAUAAAAGAAAUGAAAAGAAGAAAAAUGAUAAAUAAUUGAAUAAUAAAAAAAAGGAAAUUAUGUUGUAUUUAUAAACGCAAAUUAUUUACUUACAUUUUGAAAAAAAAUCAACUCUUUUCUUUUAACAAUUAUUAAUAAAUUUAAAAUUCGUUAAUAAAUUCAUUUGUAACUUAAAAAUAUAAAUUUAAAAAAAAAGUAAAAAUUUUAUGUGAGCAUUCAUUUUAAAUUUACUAAUAAAUAUCAUUCGUUUUAAUAUUUUUAAUUUAUUAAUUUAAUGAUAUUUCAGAUUUCUAAAGUUAUUAAUAAUUUUUUAACAAAUUAAUAAUAGAUUUAGAGUCCACUAAUAAUUUAAAUAUUUUUUAAAAUCUAUUAAUAUAUUUUAAUCGGUUAAUAAUAAAUUAUGAACAAAUUUUAAAAAAUCUAUUAAUAUAUUUUAAUUGGUUGAAUUUUAUAUUUUAAUCGGUUAAUAAUAAAUUAUGAACGAAUUUUAAAAAAUUUAUUAAUAUAUUUUAAUUGGUUGAAUUUUAAUUUUGUUAGUAAAUUUCAACGCUUAUUAUUUUAUAAAUUUAUAAAUUCACAAUGAAUUCUAAAAUUAAUUAAUAAUACAAUGGAUUUUUAAGGAAAAAUUUUUUAUGUUAAGAGUUAUUAACAGAUUUUUAAAUUUAUUAAAAUUAUUAAUAAAUUAAAAUAUAUUUGAUAAAAUUUAUUAAUAAUGUGGAGAUUUCUUGUAGUAAUUAAUUGGGUAUAAAUAAUUUUUUUUUUAUUUAACGCAACAUCCCUUUAAUUAUAUCCAUUUUAAGGUCCAGAUAAAAAUAAUCUUUUUAAAUUUGAUGACUGUCCAAAUCACUCAGUUUGUUUGAUUUAAAAUAAAAUCGAACUGAAUAAAUCAAAAAUUAAAAUUUAAGUAUUUUUAAAAAUCAAACCGAAUUGAUUUUAAUUAGAAACUGAAUCAAAUCAAAUUGAUCUAAUUUAGUUCGAUUCGAUUCGGUUUAAUUAGUUUCAAUUUUUAAUAAUUUUUUAUUUUUUACAUUUUAUUUUUAAUAUUUUAAAAUUUAAUUUUAAUAUGAUCUAAUCUCUCUAAAAAUAAUAUAUUAUUAUCACUAAUCAAUUCAGUUCGAUUUUUUUGAUUUUUUCUAAUCAAAAUCGAGUCGAGUUGAAAUAAUCGAAAGUUUUAAAAUUAAAAAUUGAAUCGAAUUGAAAUAAAUAAAAAAUCAAAUCAAAAUUUUAAAUUAAUUCAGUUCAAUCGAUUUUUUCAAUUUAAACCAACUAUUGCUAAAUUAACUGAAAUUUUUUCGAUUUUUUUGAUUUGAACCGAUUUUUUUAAUUUCAAAUUAAUUAUUUAUAAAUCUGCUCACCCCUCACUGCACUCUACUAUGAUGCAGGUAAAUCUUUGAUAAGCAACAGUAAUUUUUUUUUUUCCUGAGGUAAAUCCUUCGAAAUUAAGUACAUAAUAAAAAACUUAACUAAAUUAAUAGCUUUGUUUCUAAUUGUGAAAUAUUGUGAUUAAAGCUCACACUGCACGCGGAUGAGCAGUAUUCGGUUCAAACUGAAAAAAUUGAUCGAAUUGAAUCGAUUUAAAAUUUUGAUUCGGUACGGUUUUUAAUUUCAAAAAUUUCGAUUAUUUCGGUUCGAUUCGGUUUUGAUCAGAAAAAAAUAAAAAAUACCGAACCGAACCAAUUAGUGAUAAUAAUAUGUUUUUUUAAUCAUAUAGAGAAAUUAAAUCAUAUUAAGAUUAAAAUAUUUUAAUUAAAUUUUAAAAUAUUAAAAAUAAAGUGUAAAAAAUAAAAAAAAUUAUUAAAAAUCAAAACCGAUUAAACCGAACCGAAUAGAACCGAAUCAGACCGGUUCGGUUUGAUUCAGUUCUGACCAAAAUCGAUUCGGCUCGAUUUUCAUAAACACUAAAAUUUCAGUUUUUGGUUUAUUCGGUUCGGUUCGGUUUUGAACCGAACCGACCGAAUGCUCACCCCUACGCAUGCGCGUCUACACAUACUAUAUCUAGAAAAAUUAGAAAUUAAAAAUGUAUUUGUCUAAUUAUUUCAAUCGUAAUUAGAAAUUACUUGCGAUUCAAUUUGAGUAUGUCUUAAUUUUAAAUAUAAAUGGAGUUGAUUUGUAUUUCAAAAAAAAGAAAAUAUGACCAUAUAUAAUAAAAUGUCAAAUUCAAUAAUUUUUAUUUUAAAUUGUCAUUUAUUUAAAUAGACUUCAUUGCUAAAUGAGUUGAGGAUUAAGAGUUCCUUUUGUAAUAUCUAAUAUCUUAUAAUAGCUUAAGAAGUUGAAAAUGUCAAAUAUGAUUUCAUAAGGUUUAUUAUUGCGUGAACUCAAAUAAUAAAGAGAUUCUUAAUAUUCCAUUCGUUUUAUAAUUUUUAUUUUUUUAUUUUAAAAUUAUUAUCCAUUAUUUUUUUUUAUUCUUGGAUAAUAUAUAAAUGAUUUUAUUUAUAAAAUAUAUCUCAAAAUGUUUCGUAAUAUUUAAUAAAAUUUAAUAUUUUUAAAAUAAAUAUAAUAAAAAAAUAUUAUUUUUCUUAAAAUAUGUUAAAAAAUAAAAGUUGACGUAUUAAACUGAUAAAAAGUAGAGGCGAGCAAUAUUCAGUUCAAACUGAAAAAAUUGAUUGAAUUGAAUUAAUUUAGAAUUCAAUUCGAUUUUUUAUUCAUUUCGGUUCAAUUUAAUUUUUAAUUUAAAAAUUAUGGUUAUUUUAGUUCGGUUCGAUUUUGAUAAGAAAAAAUAAAAAAAAUCGAACCGAACCAAUUAGUGAUAAUAAUAUAUUAUUUUCAAUAAAACAGAGAGAUUAGAUCAUAUUAAAAUUAAAAUAUUUUAAUUAAAUUUUAGAAUAUUAAAAAUAAAGUGUAAAAAAUAAAAAUUUAUUAAAAUUUCAAAUCGAUCAAAUCAAAUGGAAUUAAAUUGAAUCAGAUCGAUUCCAUUCGAUUCGAUUUUUGAUUAAAAUCGAUUUGAUUUAAUUUUUAUAAAUAUUAAAAUUUUAAUUUUUGAUUUAUUCAAUUCGAUUUAAUUUUGAAUAGUAUCCAUGAAAUACUUAGUCUAAUGAAAAGUCCUCCUUAUAUGCUUAUUAGUGAAAUUUAUCAUUAUUUUGACGAUGCUGAUUAAUUGGGUAUAUACAUUUGAAUGUUAAAAAAAAAAUAUUUUCGAUAAUAGGUGUAAUUCAAAGUAUUGAGUAAGAAAAAAUUUAUAAUAAUUAAAAAUGUGAUUUUUUCAAGAGGAAGAAAGAUUCUUUCGUAGAUGUAAGCACAUGGAGAAGUUAUAGAAUAUAGAUUUAAAGAGGCAUGAAAUUGGAAUAUUAGAUGGUGAAUGAAUUAUAUACUCUAUGAAAUUAAUAAAUAACAAAUCUGUGGUUGGUGAAGCAAUUAACAAAUUAGAUCAAGACAAGCACUCACAUGCCAUAUUCUCCUAUAAAUAACACCAGACUCCUCCCCAUUUUCUAUUCAACCAAACAAAACCCAAGACAAAUAUUUUCCUUCUCUCAUAAGAAGCUCAAGAAAUGGCUCCAACACUUGCAGAAUCAACCACUGACGCCUCCGCCUUUGAUAUCGCCGAUUUUGUGAUCAACCAAGGGAAUGGCGUAAAGGGUCUCUCUGAGUUGGGCAUCAAAAGCCUUCCUCGCCAAUAUAUUCAACCAAAAGAAGCAUUGAUCAACAUCAUCCCAAACAAAUCCAUCCCUGUCAUUGACAUGGCCAACUGGGAAAAUGAUCCCAACAUCGCUGAAUCUGUCUGUGAAGCUGCUGAGACAUUUGGAUUCUUUCAGCUUGUUAACCAUGGCGUUCCUCUUGAGGUCCUUGACGGUGUUAAAGAUGCAACGCAUCGUUUCUUUGGGGUUCCAGCUGCUGUGAAGAGGAAGUAUUCUAAGGAGCUUUCGCCUUCUAACAGUGUUAGAUUUGGCACCAGCUUUAGCCCUGAUUCUGAGAAAGCUCUUGAAUGGAAAGAUUAUCUCAGCCUUUUCUAUGUCUCUGAGGAAGAAGCUUCUGCAUUGUGGCCUCCUGAGUGCAAGUAAGAAAAUUAUUUUAAUAUUGUGAAGUUUUCUUGGAAAUUAUUAAACUGAUCGUUUCUUUGUUUACAGGGAUGAAUGCUUGGAGUACAUGAAGAAAUCUGAAAUCUUAUGCAGAAAGCUUUUGACUGCAUUAAUGGAGAGACUCAAUGUAAAAGAAAUAGACGAGAAGAAAGAGUCUCUUUUAAUGGGAUCUCGAAGAAUCAACCUCAACUACUAUCCAAGAUGUCCAAACCCUCAGCUCACUAUCGGUGUCGGCCGCCACUCCGACGUCUCCACCCUCACGUUCCUCCUCCAAGACGAAAUCGGUGGACUUUACGUGCGAGUCAACGAAGGAAAAGGAGAAGAAGAUGGGUGGGUUCAUGUUCCUCCGAUUGAAGGAUCUCUUGUGAUAAACGUCGGAGAUGCAUUACAAAUUCUGAGUAAUGGUCGAUAUAAAAGUAUCGAGCAUUGUGUGAUUGCGAGCGGAAGUAAGAACAGAAUUUCUAUUCCUGUUUUUGUCAACCCAAAGCCAAGUGAUGUGAUCGGACCGUUGCCUGAAUUGCUUGCUGCCGGAGAAAAGCCAAAAUAUAAGAAUAUUUUAUACUCCGAUUAUGUGAAGCAUUUCUUCAGGAAGGCUCAUGAUGGGAAGAAGACUGUGGAAUUUGCUGAAGUGUAAUAAUUUUUAGUUACUCUAUCAGUUUAUGUCAUUAUUGUUAAUGUUGUAAUCACUAAGUAUUUAAAAUAAACUCUAAGAUUAAUUUUAUUAAAGUUUAUAUAUAUAUAUAUAUAUACAUAUGUGAAAAUGAACCAUGAGAUUUUUGAGAUAUAAACAAGUGAGUUCCAUUUUAGACGAUUUUUAUUUUUUUGGAUUCAUAGUCUAUGGAAUUGACCUAAAAAUUUAUUAAAAAAAAAUUAAAGAGAUUUAAUUUUAUUUUAAUUUUAAUUAAUUAGCCGUCAUGCACUAUUAAAAUAAUAGGUAAACUGUAAUUUAGUCUCUUUAAUUUAGUGAAAUGCAACCUUUUAUCCCUCUAUUUUAAAAAAUCUUUAAUUUAGUCACUAUAAUUUUUAAAAACUAUGACAUUAGUUUCUCCCGUUAGAUUUUCAGUUAAAUCACCGUUAAUUUUAGUUAAAAAGACUAAAAUACCCAUUCUCUCUCCUUCUUCGAUCUUCCUCUUCUUCUCUUUCUUCUCUUUUCCGAUCUUCUUCUUCUUCUUCUUCUUCUUCUUCUUCUUCUUCUUCUUCUUCUUCUUCUUCUUCUUCUUCUUCUUCUUCUUCUUCUUCUUCUUCUUCUUCUUCUUCUUCUUCUUCUUCUCUUUUCCGAUCUCCUUUCUUCUUAUGUUCCUUUGUGAUGAAUUACUCAACUCUACUCUUGUUCGUCAGCACCUUGAGCAGUGUGUGGAAACUACAACUGAAUUGCAGCAGAAAUUGCGGUCAUUAUCAGUGGAAUUGAAAAAUCUUAAGUCCAGGAAAGAAUUUCUGGCUGUGAGAACUUCAAAUUGGAUACUAGUGCAUCUGGAGAAGGAGGGGAAGGACUUGGUUCCGCAUCUACAAAUCAGAGUAAUUGUAUGGGAAAGCUACCUAAUUUGAGCGAGAGACCUAAUCACUUCUGUGCCUGCUCUGAUGAUGUACCUGCAAUAGAUGAUAGUCAAGAGGGGACUAGGAUUAGUGGCUUUGACAAACAUCAUUUUGUAAUGAAUUAUGGAAAAAAGCAUAAUUGUGACAGUCAAAAUGUUAAGCCAGUGGAUGCUAAACGUCGAGUGAAAGAUCGGGAAGAAGAAGAUCGGAAAGAAGAAGAAGAAGAAGGAGAUCAGAAAAGAGAAGAAGAAGAAGAAGAAGAAGGAGAAGAAGAAGAAGAAGGAGGAGGAGGAGAUCGGAAAAGAGAAGAAGAAGAAGAAGGAGAUCGGGAAGGAGAAGAAGAAGAAGAAGAAGAGAAGGAGGAAGAGGAAGGAGAGAGAAUGGGUAUUUUAGUCUUUUUAACUAAAAUUAACGGUGAUUUAACUGAAAAUCAGGGAGGAUCUAAUGUCAUAGUUUUUAAAAAUCACAAUGACUAAAUUGAAGAUUUUUUAAAAUAGAGGAACAAAAUGUUGCAUUUCACUAAAUCAGAAGGACUAAAUCACCGUUUACCUUAAAAUAAUUAAUAGCUAUUAAAAUAAAGUGCACCUAGGUAGGAAUACAGUUGGUAAGCAGAAAAAAAAAAAGUUGGAUCAAUUAGGGUUAAUUAAGAAAAUUUUAUUUAGUGAGAAAACUGAACUAGAAUAAAUCAUAAUAAAAUUAAAAAACCAAAAAAGAAAAAGAAAAUAGAUGGUCAAAUCCAGCAACCGCCAAGGUGAGAAGUUGAUAAAAAGGAAGCUUACAAGAAAGAGAAAAAAAGUUGAGUUUAUGACUGAAAAUAGGAUCUUUCAGGAAAAAAAAAAGGAAAAAGUAAUAUUUGGUGGGUAGAUUUAACCAAUGUUGGGUAAUUCUUAGCGAUUAUGAUAAAUUAUUAUAAAAAAAAUUGAAUGAGUAAUAUAAAAUAAAAAUAGUUUAAACAAGUUUGAGUGCAAGUAUUUAAUAUAGAACCAUUCCUCUAAAUUGGAUUAAUUAACUUUAAUUUAAUGAUGAAAAGCUGUCAAAGUUUUAAACUAAAUGAUUUAAACACUAAUUUAUACAAUAGUAACAAUAAAUUACUCACAAAGUAAUUAAAAAAAUACAUUGAAACAUUUCAACAAACACCUAGUAUGCACAAUGUAUAUAAGGCAAAAUUAAAAGAUAAAUAUACAAAUUCUAACUCAAAUUCAUUCAAAUAGUUUGUGCUGAUAAAAAAUACAGGGAAAGCAGCUCUUUCUCCAGGCUCACUGGUUUGGGUGGGUACUGGUUGGAAGACGUUUUCUUGUUGGGUCAUUGGAUGGAUUAGUUGAUUGUGAUUUUAUGAAUUCUUGUUUGUUUUUAUAUAUCCAUCAGAGUUACUUGUUCUUAUAUAUCCAGAAGAGUCAUAUGAAUGGCCUGUCUUUGUGUAUUGCGGUUGGAACAAUGUUGGAAGACGAUGCCUUAGUAUUUUCUGGGUGGCGGAUUACUGCUGGAUUUAAUUUGCUGUUGUAUGGUGUGAUGUCUGUUGAUGGUCUCUGCAUGCUGAUGCACUUUUUUUUAUUGAUUUUGGAUUGGCUUGAGCUGGUAUCACGGAUUAGACUUGUAUUAUGUAGCUCAUGUGGUUUGACAUUUAUUUCUGUAGUAACUGCAGUUUAAUUCAGAAUGAAGGAGUACUGAUAGUUUUGAGAUCAUUGGGUUUUCAGAAUGCAGUUCAAUUCAGAAUGAAGGAAUAUAUUUUUUAAAAUAAAUGGAUUAAUUAAUUAGUUUUUUUUAUAAUAUAAAAAUUAAAUAAUAAAUUUUAUUUAUAAUAAUAAAUUUUUCAUAAAUAAAAUAAUACAAACAGGUAAACAACAUAUGACUCAGCUUACUACUUUGUAAUAAAGCAAGUCUACUCUGAAUCAUAAAUUGACUAUAAGUUUACUGCAACUUUUUAAAACUUUAUAAAGAGAGCCCACCAGCAAACAAGAAUCACGUUGAUGCUAAAACUUGUUUUUAAAAUUAAAUUAAUAAAAAAUUAUUCAAACAAAUAGGAAAUUUCUGCUCAUAGCACUUUGUUUGGAAGGUUUUUUUAGAGCGUGAAGAAAAUAACAAAUGAUAAAUAAAAUUUUUUUUCUUUUGUUAUUUUUCUCUACUCACGUUUGAAUAUAAAUAAAUAAAUAAAAGCUAUUCUUUGCUAUUUAUGUGGAAAAAUGUGAUUUGCUGUUGAGAUUGACAAAAUAAGAUAUUAUGUUUAACCGAGUGAUUUUCUCGAGCACCUAAUCGUCGGAAUUAGAGAUUGACAAGUCUGUGAGUGCGUGAUUUCGGUAAUUCUGUUCCGCCGGGAUUUGUAUUAAGUUUAGACAAUUUCAAUUGAUUUUGUCAAGUCAAUGGAGUUUUGUUUCAAGUUUAAAAUUUUAUUGGCUACGGUUUUAUUAUAGAAAACUUUAAUAAUAUAUUUUAACGUAGUAUUUCUGGUUUUCGAAAGGUAGUAGUAAGCCGACAAUUGUUAAAAUUUUAGCUCUUCGUCACUGUUUGCUCUUUACGAUAGAAUUUUUAUCUUUUAAUGACUUUAUUUUUAUAAAUUGUUUACAUGUGAUUCAAACUCUUUAAUCUCCACAUUUAAAUAUUUUUAAAUUGUGUUUAAUUUUAAAUGAUUGUAAAUCUUUAUUAGACCCUAGAAUUAAUAUUUCUAUUAGAUGGAUUUGUCGUUGUGUCACUCUAACUACUCAUAUUUUGGCUAAAAAAUCUAUUAAGCAUAUUUAUCUCUGUGUGGGGAUAACAUCUCUAUUUAUUUAAUGAAAUUUUAUUAAUAUAAUCAGUAGUUUUAUUUUAAAAAAAUAUUUUUCUUAUUUAGAAUAAAAAGAAACAAACAUUGUUUUUUCUUAUUUAACAAAAAUUUAAGAGAUAUAACAGAAAGUUUUAGCAAGUUUACCUUUCAAGGAAAAAAAAAAGUUAUUUUCCUUUUUUUUAAACUUUUUUUAUUCAAACAAGAAAAUUUCAUUUUCCAUUCACAUGUUCUCUAAACAUAUUACUGUGGGAGAUUUUAGUCUAUUAUUUAAGAAUUUGUUUUACAUUACUGUUAAAAUGGUUGUUAAGAAAAAUAAUUUAAAAGUAUCAUUUAGAAAAUAUUUUUAUUAAAAUAAUUUAAAAUUAUUUUGAUAUAAUUUAAUUAUAAAAAAAACUAAAAUAAUAAAGUUAUUUUUCCAAAUAAUUUUUUUCAAUGACAUCUAAAAUGAAGGUUUUAAAAGAAAAAUUUUAAACUCCAAACUCAAUGCCAAACUCUCUUAGGUGACUUAUUAUAAAAACAAUUUACCCAAAAAAACUCCAGGAUUAUUAAUUUAAAUAUUUAAAUUUUAAAUAAAUACACACAAUAUUUAUAUUUAAAUAUGAUUUUAGCUAAUUUUUAAAAAUUUUAAAUGUGAUCAUUUAUAUAUAAUAUUUUAUUAUUAUUUUAAAAUAAACUAAUUUUAUAUGUUAAAAUAACAUUAACUCACAUUUAAUCAUAGUUCACUGAUAUAUUUAAUUUUAAAUUAUUAAAUAAUUUUAAAUUAUUAAAUAUAUAGUUCACAUUUUUAACAGUAAAUAAAUUUUAUUUUAUAAUAAUAAUUAUAAAAAUUUUAUAAUAAAUAUAUAGCGUGCUGCUUCUUUAAAUUAAAUAACAUGUUUAGUAUAAAAUUAUUUUACUCAUUAUUAUAAAAUAAAAUUAAUGAAUGUUAGAAGAUUUAAAUCACAUGUUUAACGAUAUAAAUUAUUUAUUUUUAAUUAAAAUAUAUUAAUUAAAUAAAAUUAAAUGAGAGUAUUAUUUUUCAUAUAUAAAAUUAAAUUAUAUUUAAAAGUAAUAAAAUAUUGUAGAUAGCAUGUUAUUUAUAUUCUCAUAUUUUGAGUUUUAAAAUUAGUUAAUUAAUUUAUUUAAAAUUUAAAUAUUUUUAUUAAAAUGUAAAUAGAAAUAAACAAACAGUUGGUCUAAUAUAUAUAUCAUAGCCGUCUACCAAGAGGAAUUUGGUGGUCAACUGGCACUGUCGUGCAGCGUGCUCAACAAUUCAAGUUGACAAUCCGAAGGGUAAUUUGGUCAUUGAAGUUUCACAAUGACCAUUUGGCUUCGGAAUGAAAGUGGAUACAAAAAGAAAGGAAAAAUUCUAAUUGAUUUUAUUGUUUGGAUUUAAGAAGCACGGUAUAGACCAGAGACCAGUCAACCAUUGUUGGUCUCUUACCACAUCCUCACUUGAAGAAACCACGAAAUUGCAUAAUGGGGUUGGUGAUGGCGAGCUCUCUAUUUUUAUAUUUAUAAUUUAUUUUAAAACAUUUAAAAAACAUAGACAUCUUCACAUGUUUUUUAAUGAUUCUGUGUCUAUAAAUAGCUCCCACAGCACAGCCUCUCUCUUCAAAUCACAAUCUCCCCAGCUUCAGUUUGAUAAUCUUGAUAUACAUAGUUGAAUUGCAAUGGCUCCAGCAAUGGCAUUAUCAUCCACCGAUUCCUUUGAUCUCACUGAUUUUGUCAUUAACAAAGGCAAUGGAGUAAAGGGUCUUUCUGAUUUGGGCAUCAAAAGCCUUCCCUCUCAGUAUAUUCAACCUCAAGAGGCAUUGAUCAAUAUCAUCCCACAAAAAUCUAUUCCUGUUAUUGAUAUGUCCAACUGGGAAAAUGACCCCAGAGUUGCUGAAUCAGUCUGUGAAGCUGCAGAGAAAUUUGGCUUCUUCCAGCUGGUUAACCAUGGCGUGCCACUUGAGGUACUCGAUGGCGUUAAGGAUGCAACCCAUCGGUUCUUUGGGUUGCCAGCAGAGGAGAAGAGGAAGUUCUCCAAAGAGCUUUCUUCCACCAACAAUAUCAGAUUUGGAACCAGCUUUAGUCCUGAUGCAGAGAAAGCUCUUGAAUGGAAAGAUUACCUUAGCCUCUUCUAUGUCUCUGAGGAGGAGGCUUCUGUAUUGUGGCCUUCUGCUUGCAGAGAUGAAGUCCUUGAAUACAUGAAGAAAUCUCAAGUCCUCUGCACGAAGCUAAUGACUGCACUCAUGGAGAAACUGAACGUAAAAGAAAU